Molecule: long non-coding RNA, 364 nt
Organism: Ceratitis capitata (Mediterranean fruit fly)
Lineage: Eukaryota; Metazoa; Arthropoda; Insecta; Diptera; Tephritidae
Exons: 3
Source: RefSeq, a predicted model, not a curated record
CCUGAAAAUUUAAAUAGGAUUAGUAAAUUAGUUUGGCUGAAACAAGCAUUGGAACCAUUAUGGAAAGCACAGCCCGUCUUAACUUGAUACAACGAUAAACGUUUACGUUACUUUAGUUCGUCUGAACGAAUUGUUAUGUACCGAUAUCAAGGUUUGCGGACAAAAAUUUUCAGGCGCUGCGGAAUGUUUGUUAAACGCUGGCAUAUUUCAUUAACUAAAAAUUUUUGAAGAACGACAGCUUCAAAUUUAGGAGGUGAUUAGAUUAGUUGAAAACCAAAGGAAAAGAGAGGAGUUUCUUAACUUUAGCUUCCGCCAAUGCGAUGGCCAUUCCACAAUCACGGUGAAUGCAACAAUACGGAGGAAA